UAAAGACAAAGGCAAAUCUGUUGAAAAAUAGAGACGCAAAACCACAGAUCUAAUGUGAUAAAACACGACGAUGGCUGGGUUACCUGA
Molecule: non-coding RNA, 87 nt
Filed under: Gracilibacillus boraciitolerans
Lineage: Bacteria; Bacillati; Bacillota; Bacilli; Caryophanales; Bacillaceae
Also listed under: 1 other name
Description: c-di-GMP sequence
Rfam family: c-di-GMP-I riboswitch aptamer
About the family: GEMM was predicted in a large-scale screen for bacterial structured RNA regulatory elements.
Source: RNAcentral